GGGGGAGGGGAGGCUCACACCCUGCGGCGGCUUAAGCCUGGAUUUACGCACUGGAGGAGGGAAUUAGCCCUGAGAUGUCAGCCCUGUGCCCCUGGCUCUGUCCACCCGGACGCCCGCGGAGCGCCAGGCGCCGCAGCGGACCGCGCGCGCACUGAUUGCCGCAGCUACUCUCCCUGCUGUCGCCGCCCGGGACCGGGUGACAUUGAGGUUUUCGUCUAUCGCCGCUGGGCCGAUAGGGCUUCUUUUUAAGAUUUGGCUUUCCAAGUAAGAUUUUUGUUUGCCUGCUUUUCUCCUGAAAUUUUUUUGGUUUUGGUCGAAGAAGCAGCUCCCACUUUGCAGUUGUGUCAGCCAAUCACGACAGCUUCCCAGACUUCCGUGCAAGUGCCUGCUUUGAGGCCAAGGUGGCCAUAAAUGGCAGCUCCUCAGGCUCCUCCACAAUCUCUGGUUUCUUAUGUUUCUCCAUGAGCUCAGCUUUUUCAUCGACUCCAAUGCUUCAAGCCAAAGUCAUUAGUGAAUGUUCUACAAUCCUUCAGCUGCAGCUCCAGGCCUUCACUCCUCCAGCUUCUCCUACAUCCAUCUAACCCUCAAUUCCUACAUUAAAUCUCUUUAUUCCAGAAUA
RNAcentral lists this non-coding RNA (619 nucleotides) under Pan troglodytes (chimpanzee). The record is from RNAcentral. Lineage: Eukaryota; Metazoa; Chordata; Mammalia; Primates; Hominidae.